CCUACGGGAGGCAGCAGUGAGGAAUAUUGGUCAAUGGACGAGAGUCUGAACCAGCCAAGUAGCGUGAAGGAUGACUGCCCUAUGGGUUGUAAACUUCUUUUAUAUGGGAAUAAAACGUUCCACGUGUGGGAUUUUGUAUGUACCAUAUGAAUAAGGAUAGGCUAACUCCGUGCCAGCAGCCGCGGUAAUACGGAGGAUCCGAGCGUUAUCCGGAUUUAUUGGGUUUAAAGGGAGCGUAGGUGGAUUGUUAAGUCAGUUGUGAAAGUUUGCGGCUCAACCGUAAAAUUGCAGUUGAUACUGGCAGUCUUGAGUACAGUAGAGGUGGGCGGAAUUCGUGGUGUAGCGGUGAAAUGCUUAGAUAUCACGAAGAACUCCGAUUGCGAAGGCAGUUCACUGGACUGCAACUGACACUGAGGCUCGAAAGUGUGGGUAUCAAACAGGAUUAGAUACCCGGGUAGUC
RNAcentral lists this ribosomal RNA (460 nucleotides) under uncultured bacterium. RNAcentral's name for it is "partial 16S ribosomal RNA". It matches the Rfam family "Bacterial small subunit ribosomal RNA", at positions 338 to 795 of the family's 1533-position model. The record is from RNAcentral.